RNAcentral lists this ribosomal RNA (497 nucleotides) under uncultured bacterium. Its description in RNAcentral is "partial 16S ribosomal RNA". It matches the Rfam family "Bacterial small subunit ribosomal RNA", at positions 28 to 507 of the family's 1533-position model. The record is from RNAcentral.
GAUGAACGCUGGCGGCGUGCCUAAUACAUGCAAGUCGAGCGAACGGACGAGAAGCUUGCUUCCCUGAUGUUAGCGGCGGACGGGUGAGUAACACGUGGAUAACCUACCUAUAAGACUGGGAUAACUUCGGGAAACCGGAGCUAAUACCGGAUAAUAUUUUGAACCGCAUGGUUCAAAAGUGAAAGACGGUCUUGCUGUCACUUAUAGAUGGAUCCGCGCUGCAUUAGCUAGUUGGUAAGGUAACGGCUUACCAAGGCAACGAUGCAUACCCGACCUGAGAGGGUGAUCGGCCACACUGGAACUGAGACACGGUCCAGACUCCUACGGGAGGCAGCAGUAGGGAAUCUUCCGCAAUGGGCGAAAGCCUGACGGAGCAACGCCGCGUGAGUGAUGAAGGUCUUCGGAUCGUAAAACUCUGUUAUUAGGGAAGAACAUAUGUGUAAGUAACUGUGCACAUCUUGACGGUACCUAAUCAGAAAGCCACGGCUAACUACGUG